RNAcentral lists this ribosomal RNA (460 nucleotides) under uncultured bacterium. RNAcentral describes it as "partial 16S ribosomal RNA". It matches the Rfam family "Bacterial small subunit ribosomal RNA", at positions 338 to 795 of the family's 1533-position model. The record is from RNAcentral.
CCUACGGGAGGCAGCAGUGAGGAAUAUUGGUCAAUGGGCGGAAGCCUGAACCAGCCAAGUCGCGUGAGGGAUUAAGGCCCUGCGGGUCGUAAACCCCUUUUGCCGGGGAGCAGAGGUCCGGACGUGUCCGGGCCGGGAGAGUACCCGGAGAAAAAGCAUCGGCUAACUCCGUGCCAGCAGCCGCGGUAAUACGGGGGAUGCGAGUGUUAUCCGGAUUUAUUGGGGUUAAAGGGUGCGUAGGCGGGCAUUUAAGCCGGCGGUCAAAUGUCGGGGCUCAACCCCGGCCUGCCGUCGGAACGGGGUGCCUUGAGUGGGCGAGAAGUAUGCGGAAUGCGUGGUGUAGCGGUGAAAUGCAUAGAUAUCACGCAGAACCCCGAUUGCGAAGGCAGCAUACCGGCGCCCUACUGACGCUGAGGCACGAAAGUGCGGGUAUCGAACAGGAUUAGAUACCCCGGUAGUC